UACGGAGGGCGCAAGCGUUGUUCGGAAUCACUGGGCGUAAAGCGCGUGUAGGCGGUUCGGCAAGUCGGAUGUGAAAGCCCGAGGCUCAACCUAUGAACUGCAGCCGAAACUGCCGGGCUCGAGGUCCGGAGAGGGUGGCGGAAUUUCAGGUGUAGAGGUGAAAUUCGUAGAUAUUGGAAGGAACACCAGAGGCGAAGGCGGCCACCUGGACGGUGACUGACGCUGAGACGCGAAAGCGUGGGGAGCAAACAGG
RNAcentral lists this ribosomal RNA (253 nucleotides) under uncultured bacterium. RNAcentral describes it as "partial 16S ribosomal RNA". It matches the Rfam family "Bacterial small subunit ribosomal RNA", at positions 524 to 776 of the family's 1533-position model. The record is from RNAcentral.